This 440-nucleotide ribosomal RNA is filed under the name uncultured bacterium. Its description in RNAcentral is "partial 16S ribosomal RNA". It matches the Rfam family "Bacterial small subunit ribosomal RNA", at positions 338 to 795 of the family's 1533-position model. The record is from RNAcentral.
CCUACGGGUGGCAGCAGUGGGGGAUAUUGCACAAUGGGGGAAACCCUGAUGCAGCGACGCCGCGUGAGUGAAGAAGCGUUUCGGCACGUAAAGCUCUAUCAGCAGGGAAGAAAAUGACGGUACCUGACUAAUACGCCCCGGCUAACUACGUGCCAGCAGCCGCGGUAAUACGUAGGGGGCAAGCGUUAUCCGGAUUUACUGGGUGUAACGGGGGCGUAGACGGCAAUGCAAGUCAGGAGUGAAAUCCCCGGGCGUAACCCUGGGACUGCUUUGGGAACUGGAGGGCUGGAGUGCAGGAGCGGCAGGCGGAAUUCCUAGUGUAGCGGUGAAAUGCGUAGAUAUUAGGAGGAACACCGGUGGCGAAGGCGGCUUGCUGGACUGUAACUGACGUUGAGGCCCGAAGGCGUGGGGAGCAAACAGGAUUAGAUACCCUGGUAGUC